Non-coding RNA from Ornithorhynchus anatinus (platypus), 72 nucleotides. The record is from Rfam. NCBI's taxonomy places the organism in Eukaryota, Metazoa, Chordata, Mammalia, Monotremata, Ornithorhynchidae.
AGCAGCGUGGCUCAGUGGAAAGAGCCUGGGCUUUGGAGUCAGAGGUCAUGGGUUUGAAUCCCAGCUCUGUCA